GAUCAUGGCUCAGGAUGAACGCUGGCGGCGUGCUUAACACAUGCAAGUCGAACGGACGAUGAAGAGCUUGCUUUUCAGAGUUAGUGGCGGACGGGUGAGUAACGCGUGGGUAACCUGCCUCAUACAGGGGGAUAGCAGCUGGAAACGGCUGAUAAAACCGCAUAAGCGCACAGCAUCGCAUGAUGCAGUGUGAAAAACUCCGGUGGGUGUGAGAUGGACCCGCG
Molecule: ribosomal RNA, 224 nt
Filed under: uncultured bacterium
Lineage: Bacteria
Description: partial 16S ribosomal RNA
Rfam family: Bacterial small subunit ribosomal RNA
Source: RNAcentral